Oryza glaberrima (African rice) is the source of this 209-nucleotide non-coding RNA. Lineage: Eukaryota; Viridiplantae; Streptophyta; Magnoliopsida; Poales; Poaceae. The record is from Rfam.
AAUAAGUGUAGUUUUGCACUAUUUAUCUUCAAAGUUUAACCGUUCGUCUUAUUUGAAAUUUUUUUUAUGAUUACUAUUUUUAUUGUUAUUAGAUGAUAAAAUAUGAACAGUACUUUAUGUGUGACUAAUUUUUUUAAAAAUUUUUAUAAAUUUUUCAAAUAUGGCGGAUGGUCAAACGUUGGACACGGAUUUCGACGAUUGUGCUUAAU